This 1421-nucleotide long non-coding RNA is filed under the name Hordeum vulgare. Its description in RNAcentral is "long non-coding RNA (HVUL_LNC010401)". The record is from RNAcentral. Lineage: Eukaryota; Viridiplantae; Streptophyta; Magnoliopsida; Poales; Poaceae.
GGGUGGAGAACACCUAAUUUAGGUGGUCAGAUCCUGAUAUAACAGUAAGUUCACCAUGUCAGCCUAGUAAAAUCCAAUCUAAACACCAUAAAAUUUACAAAAUAAAAUAAAAAAAAGCAUGCUCAGUUAAAUCCUGCCUAUAGAUUAUAGAACUGUGAAAUGCCUAAACGAUGAUAUGCUAACACCUUCUACAAGCAUUCUGUCACUUAGCUGGUGGCAAAAUAACAACUCAAUCAACCAUGUUUAUCAAUAUAGAAGUUAUGUGGUUGUGUCGAUAUAAAAGACGAUGCACAAUAGUACCUUGGGUGGCAUCAGGAAGAUAGCCUUUCUGGAGGUGGCUCAGGCUUGUCCUGCAAACAACCCAUUACAAAUAUCGGCAACAAACCAUGCGCGUGCGCGCGCGCACACACACACAUACAAGGAAAGAGAACCAUUGGUCUUCAGUUAUUUCCAUGUAAACAGAUUUUGAACGACAAUGUGAGAAUAUGAGGACAUAAAUGUUGUAACACGAUCACAAAUAACAGUACAGGAAACAUAAACAUUCAUGUAGCUACCCUGUUAAAUACUAUUCCCACUCAACAGCUAUCCCAUAGAUAGAAAGGCGAACAACAAGGAACACAUGUAUGAGAUAAAUGGUGACCUACAGUCUUAUGUAGGCGCAUCAAUAAACAACACAACAUUCCUGGAGAAAAGAGAGAAUGCAAGAAAAUACAUACAAAUGUAUUGAGUCAAUAAUCAAAUAACAUACUUCUUAUUGUCUAUUUUGCUUGUAAUAACAAAGCCAAAACCAUUUGCUAUUUCAAACGUAAACUCACGCAUCUCUUUUACAAAUUAGACAAGAGCACCUACCAUCAAGAGCAGCCUGAAACAACGUCGUGAAGCAAGAAACAACAGUGGCACUAAAAACAUACUUUACUUUUGUAAGUGCAAACUUCUACUUCCAUCCAGCGACCAAAUUAUAGGACUGCCUUCUGCAAGGAUUUUAAGAAAAGAGUUACCCCAAAUGCAGACUUCUACAUAUGAGAAACUCCAACAACCUGCUUGUCCUCUUGUACAAAUUCCUCAUAUGAACAAUCAUAUUUCCAUGUGUAAAAUAUAAAUACAAAAUACUGGUUAUUCUACCCAUACAAGACAAGCUGAAGAAUAAUAAUCUAACCUUUCAUGGAUCACCAUAAUAAAAGCUAUUGUAGAAAAUAAUUUGGGCAAUCAAUUUCUGUGAGACCAAAAAAAUGCAAGAAAAGACGAUUAGUUGGGUCAGAAUAUUGCACCACUCGAUCAUCUUGGCAUUAUAGUUGCAGCCAUCCAUAAAAAGCAUGAAUGCUUCACACUAAAGAGGCAUAUACAUCGGAAUUUAGAGGGGAAUCACCGGAUGUAGUGUGCUAUGAGGCUGUUGAACUUGGUUGUCAUGUUGUCACUGCGCU